CAGCCGUAAACAAUGUGCGUUAGGUGUGUCGGUAACCACGUGUUACUGAUGCGCCGAAGAGAAAUCGUGAAACGCACCACCUGGGAAGUACGGUCGCAAGGCUGAAACUUAAAGGAAUUGGGCGGGGGAGCACCACAACAGGUGGAGCCUGCGGUUUAAUUGGACUCAACGCCGGAAAUCUCACCGGAUAGGACAGACAUAUGAUAGUCGGGCUGAAGACUCUACUUGAUGAUCUGAGAGGAGGUGCAUGGCGUCAGUGACU
RNAcentral lists this ribosomal RNA (262 nucleotides) under uncultured archaeon. RNAcentral's name for it is "partial 16S ribosomal RNA". It matches the Rfam family "Archaeal small subunit ribosomal RNA", at positions 748 to 1008 of the family's 1478-position model. The record is from RNAcentral.